This 692-nucleotide ribosomal RNA is filed under the name Salinicoccus sp. 2.17. RNAcentral describes it as "bacterial SSU rRNA". It matches the Rfam family "Bacterial small subunit ribosomal RNA", at positions 54 to 728 of the family's 1533-position model. Lineage: Bacteria; Bacillati; Bacillota; Bacilli; Caryophanales; Staphylococcaceae. The record is from RNAcentral.
CAUGCAAGUCGAGCGCGAGCGUUAGAAGCUUGCUUCUAACAAUCGAGCGGCGGACGGGUGAGUAACACGUGGGCAACCUACCUUUGAGAUUGGGAUAACUACCGGAAACGGUAGCUAAUACCGGAUAGGACAUGAUUACAUAAGUAGCGAUGUUAAAAGGCGGAUUUAUCUGCCGUUCAAAGAUGGGCCUGCGGUGCAUUAGCUAGUUGGUGAGAUAGUAGCUCACCAAGGCGACGAUGCAUAGCCGACCUGAGAGGGUGAUCGGCCACACUGGGACUGAGACACGGCCCAGACUCCUACGGGAGGCAGCAGUAGGGAAUCUUCCGCAAUGGACGCAAGUCUGACGGAGCAACGCCGCGUGAGUGAAGAAGGGUUUCGGCUCGUAAAACUCUGUUGUUAAGGAAGAACACUUGAGGUAGUAACUGGCCUCGAGCUGACGGUACUUAACCAGAAAGCCACGGCAACUACGUGCCAGCAGCCGCGGUAAUACGUAGGUGGCAAGCGUUAUCCGGAAUUAUUGGGCGUAAAGCGCGCGUAGGCGGUAGAAUAAGUCUGAUGUGAAAGCCCCUGGCUCAACCAGGGAGGGUCAUUGGAAACUGUUUUACUUGAGUACAGAAGAGGAGAGUGGAAUUCCAUGUGUAGCGGUGAAAUGCGCAGAGAUAUGGAGGAACACCAGUGGCGAAGGCGGCUCU